UACGUAGGGGGCAAGCGUUAUCCGGAAUUAUUGGGCGUAAAGCGCGCGUAGGCGGUUGUUUAAGUCUGAUGUGAAAGCCCAGGGCUCAACCCCGGACGGGCAUUUGAAACUGGAAAACUAGAGUGCAGGAGAGGAGAGUGGAAUUCCAUGUGUAGCGGUGAAAUGCGUAGAGAUACGGAGGAACACCAGUGGCGAAGGCGACUUUCUGGACUGUAACUGACGCUGAUGUGCGAAAGCGUGGGGAUCAAACAGG
RNAcentral lists this ribosomal RNA (253 nucleotides) under uncultured bacterium. RNAcentral describes it as "partial 16S ribosomal RNA". It matches the Rfam family "Bacterial small subunit ribosomal RNA", at positions 524 to 776 of the family's 1533-position model. The record is from RNAcentral.